This is a non-coding RNA of Glycine max (soybean), 117 nucleotides long. Lineage: Eukaryota; Viridiplantae; Streptophyta; Magnoliopsida; Fabales; Fabaceae. The record is from Rfam.
UUACUAUUGGAUGAUGACUAUCACAUGUCAUAUUAUUAGAUGUAAAUUCCAUGAAAGAUGAAAUACAUUGUUGUGUUCAUUGAUCAAUCAGAAUAUGACACGUAAUAGUCAUCAUCC